This is a long non-coding RNA of Triticum dicoccoides, 1731 nucleotides long. RefSeq lists it as uncharacterized. The record is from RefSeq and is a predicted model, not a curated record. Lineage: Eukaryota; Viridiplantae; Streptophyta; Magnoliopsida; Poales; Poaceae. The transcript is spliced from 3 exons.
UUUAUUAUUUUUGGUGCACUUCCAUUUCAUAAUUAAAGCAGUACACAAUUAUGUAUGAAUGUUUCAACAGAACUAGAAUUAGUAAACAGCUGUCUGCAAAAGAUACUAGCUACUUCAUUUUUGGCCUACCUUUUGGGCAAUGCCAUCUCCACAGAUCUGAGCCCAAUUUUUUGAAUAUACAUUCCAUCCUUAUUUUGGGACUAUUGUUCGCUGUGACUUUUUGGCAGUGUCGCUUCCAUAGGUCUGAAGGAAAUUUUUUAAUACAUGUAAGAUAUACAUCAUUUUUUUGUUCUUUGAACUGUUGUUCAUGCCAUAGGUUACUUUUAAGUUCGCUUUGCCCACCCACAGUUUUGGUUUAUGGUGGACCUUGGAGUUGAGAAGCUACAAUUUUAUUGACGCUCAAGAUUUCAUAAAUGGCAUCUGCAGAACAUCUGAAAGAAUUUUGAAGUGUGUAUUUUGUUUCAAUUUCAUUCGCUCUUUCUUUAUCUUCAGUUCUUCAGUCUAGCUUAGAGGUAGAAGAUUGUUGUCUAAGUCUAUCAAUAUUGCUCAAUAUCCCAACUUAAUUCAACCAUUGUUUGUAUCACUUUCCUGAACGCCAUGAAGUAAUUUAUUUUCCGGAGCUGCUUUAUUUAUUCCAUUACUUCUCUUCUGGAUUUGGCCGGAGUCCUUUGCUUAAAGCUCUUGCCCCUGAUGGAAAAAAGUUCAUGCUUUUCAUUUGCUUCAUUUAUAUGUUACCUUGUGAUUUUUUGUUUGACUCUUCUUGACCAUUCACAUUUGAUGUUUAGAUAAUUAUAAUCUCUACUCAUGUAACCUUUCCAGUCCUUGUGUAGUCAUUAUUUCCCCCUCUUUUUUUGUACGUAUAUUCAUAAUGUUCGUGCAUAGUUUCAGAAGUGAACACUAAGUUCUUCGUUCACUAGAUUUUAUUUAAUGUUUCAUGAACAUGGUCCGGUUUUCACCUUAGGUUCAGUUACAUGCACUGUUUUCCGAUCUAUGUCGCUCUAUGGGAUGCAUUUUUUUUCAGUUCUCCUUUUUGUUCUUGUGCAAUUUUUAUAUCUGGGAUCAUAACACUCACUCUUUUUCGUGUGUAAUCGGUGGUCAUCCAGAAAAUACCAAAGGAAGACCGGUGGGACUAUGGUUUGGUGAGCGGAGCUUUACUAGGACUGAGUAUGACGAAGAAGCAUGGAUGCAAGAAAUUUCCCCUGAAAAUAGGACUUGAGAAAUAACAUGCUUGGAGGUCGCUGUCUACCAUCUCUCUCUGACUGCCCCUCCUCCCAUUGACAUGGCAUGCUGGUCACCGUUGUGUCUCCCGCUGGCUUGCCCCUCGCCAUCGUCGGGAGGGUUUUGUGGGCUGUUCUGCAUUGAAAUCCAUAUAACUUUGAAAAGGUCACCACCGUGCCGUCUCUCUCUCUCUGACUGCCCCUCCCAUCGUCUUGGUUUGCUGGAUGCCGUUGUGUCCCCCGCCAGUUCGCUCGUCGCCAUCGCUUGAUGGGUUGUGUAGGCUGCCGCUCAUGCAAUUGCUCUGCAGUGACCAGUGAGGACCAUGGCAUCGAGACAGCCCAAAAGGGAAACACCGCCGACCACCGCACCGGUGGAGGCCUCCCUGUCUGCCGGCAACUGGAUACCACCGCUUGUGAAAGGGGGCAUCACCAUGUAAGAUAGUUUCUAAAAUCAUUUCCUAUGUAGUAUCCUCAGAUGCACUGCUCAGGCCUUGCUCGCCUUGCAUACAAAUGU